RNAcentral lists this long non-coding RNA (1365 nucleotides) under Homo sapiens (human). Its description in RNAcentral is "LNC_000221". The record is from RNAcentral. Lineage: Eukaryota; Metazoa; Chordata; Mammalia; Primates; Hominidae.
AGAAGAGGUAUGCAGGUUUUAAGGUUUCACAAUCAGUUGUCAGAAAAACAGCAGUUAUGCCUGCAGUAUCUCGUUAGCAUCUGACUCAAUUAUUUUUAGAUUACAUUGUUUAGAAGACAUUGUAAACCCAUCUAAAACUUUGUAAUUAUUUUGAGAUGGUUCCAAUGUUAACCCUAGAAUCAUCAUCAGAAAGAGUAACAAUGUGAUGUAGAAGAACAGCUAAUCGACAUGACUAAAAAUAUGCUCAUUUUCAGAAAAACAAUCUGGUCAUCUGGAAACAAUCACAGCUACAACCUAGGGAACACUCCCAUGUGGGAUACUGAUCUGGCCAAGGCACACUUUCUAAGCAGGAAAACUAUCAGAUCAGGGUGAAUUUAGGCCACUUCAGAGGUGCUGCCUAUAAACAUCCAGACAGACCUUCUUAGGCAGCAGAACUGGUCCCAUUCCUCUCAAAGCAGUUUGACACUACCCUACCCACAUCAACCCAAAGCUUGACGUUAAGUCAAAAGAGCAUAUUGGAGCAAAAGUGAACAGAUGUGUAAACUCUAGCACAUUCUUAUUGCUGUAUUAAGUCUGAAGAUGAGCACAUCCUACCCACAACAGUAUUGUUCCAGGAAGCAGGGUAGGAGUAGUGGUAAAUUAGAAAAUAGACUAUUAAUUGCACAAUUAAUAGAAAAGUAAAAACAUGUUUCAAAAUCUACAAUAAACCUGUAUCCCAAGGAGUCCUAUACGUCAGUGUGAUGUGCUGGACUCUGAAUUCUGUGGUACAGCUUUGCAUUGGACUCCGUCCGGCCUACUGGUCUGGGUACGGCUUGCUUCCUGCCUGUUGAAGGGUGAAUAUGCUACACAGAGCUAUGAUGGUUUCUACUGAGUGGUAAAAUUCACAGAAGUUCCAGGUUCAUCAUGUCAGGAUCAUUCCUUGUGCAAAGUUUGAUGUAGAUGAAGAUAAAGUGGUUUCUUGGUCAAUAAUUGCAAUUUCUUUCUUUUAAAGUCAGUGGGUUUCUUGUAUAGUUCUAUUACAAUUGGCCCAGGUUUAAUUUCAUCCAUCUCCAUGAAAGCAAAACACUUGGUGCUGGUAAACCUUUUUUUAGGCUUGUAGUGUUUGAAUUCAAAGAAGAUAGCUGCACCUUUGGUUAAUUUUUCAACAUGCUUCUGGAGCUCAAUGUCCACAUUAAAAUGAACAUAUGUAUCUUCUUUUCUUGAAGCCACAGGAGUAUCUUGCACAGGAGUUAAGUCUAUGCCAUUCAGAUCUAAAGAGAAAAGAAGUUUCUCUUUAGGAACAUUCAAAUAUACAGACUUAAAAACUGCAGGCCAGGCACGGUGGCUCACGCCUGUAAUCCUAGCACUUUGGGAGGCCGAGGCGGG